RNAcentral lists this ribosomal RNA (253 nucleotides) under uncultured bacterium. Its description in RNAcentral is "partial 16S ribosomal RNA". It matches the Rfam family "Bacterial small subunit ribosomal RNA", at positions 524 to 776 of the family's 1533-position model. The record is from RNAcentral.
UACGUAGGGUGCAAGCGCUAAUCGGAAUUACUGGGCGUAAAGCGUGCGCAGGCGGCUAUGCAAGACAGAUGUGAAAUCCCCGGGCUCAACCUGGGAACUGCAUUUGUGACUGCAUGGCUAGAGUACGGUAGAGGGGGAUGGAAUUCCGCGUGUAGCAGUGAAAUGCGUAGAUAUGCGGAGGAACACCGAUGGCGAAGGCAAUCCCCUGGACCUGUACUGACGCUCAUGCACGAAAGCGUGGGGAGCAAACAGG